UUAAUUGAAGCCAAAAAGAGGCAUAUUACUGUUAAUGAUAAAAUUGAAAUCAAUCUCCAAUUAAA
Molecule: transfer RNA, 65 nt
Filed under: Smittia aterrima
Lineage: Eukaryota; Metazoa; Arthropoda; Insecta; Diptera; Chironomidae
Description: tRNA-Asn
Source: RNAcentral